RNAcentral lists this ribosomal RNA (253 nucleotides) under uncultured bacterium. RNAcentral's name for it is "partial 16S ribosomal RNA". It matches the Rfam family "Bacterial small subunit ribosomal RNA", at positions 524 to 776 of the family's 1533-position model. The record is from RNAcentral.
UACGUAGGUGGCAAGCGUUGUCCGGAUUUACUGGGUGUAAAGGGCGUGCAGCCGGGCUGACAAGUCAGAUGUGAAAUCCCGCGGCUCAACCGCGGAACUGCAUUUGAAACUGUCAGUCUCGAGUACCGGAGAGGUCAUCGGAAUUCCUUGUGUAGCGGUGAAAUGCGUAGAUAUAAGGAAGAACACCAGUGGCGAAGGCGGAUGACUGGACGGCAACUGACGGUGAGGCGCGAAAGCGUGGGGAGCAAACAGG